This 1448-nucleotide long non-coding RNA is filed under the name Homo sapiens (human). RNAcentral describes it as "HSALNT0108332". The record is from RNAcentral. Lineage: Eukaryota; Metazoa; Chordata; Mammalia; Primates; Hominidae.
GUCUUCUUUCUAUGAUAUACAAAGGAACGUCAAGGAGAGCAAUUUAUAAAGACUAGACAUAAAAAACAUGUUUUCUUCUCAUUCCAGUCUUAAAUCAUUUCAGUUACAAUAAUUAGUUAUAGGGAUUUGGAUCUGAAGGUGGAACUGUAAGGGUGUUGGAAUUUUACAAGUUUAUUUUCCAUAUGCAGAAUGACCACUUUCCCACAAAUCUGAAACAGACAGGUGUUGUUGACCUGCAAAGAGCCUUUCUCAUUCUGGCAGGAUUCUUCUGUUUAUACUAAGAGUAAUAAAAUUCCACCAAGAUGCAUAUUUGUCCAUCACUGGAAGAAGUGGAUUUAUUUGCUCAUGCUGCAGCAAAGGAGAACUGUAAAUAGUCAAGUCCAACUGAUAUGUGCAAGCCAGCUGCACUGUGCAUGUCAGAUCCAGACUGCAAGUUUUUGAAUUCUUGUGUCUGUUUUUCUAGUUUUGAAUAUCCUCUGAAGUUGUAAGAUUCUUGUCACCCAGCAUAUCUGCUAAAUUGGAGCAGCCUUUCUUUUUUUCUAACGCAUUCUACAAACUUGAAGGCUAGCAACAAAACCUAGAUUUUAAGAGCUAUGAAUGACUGAGCCACUGCAUUCUAGCCUGGGGAACAGAGUGAGACUCUGUAUCAGGAAAAAAAAAAAAAAGAGAGAAAAGAAAAAAAAGAGAGAGAGCUAUGAAUAAACUAUGAGUACACUAAGUUCUCUUAUGAAUUAAUGGCAUGGAUUUGACAUGAUCAAAUUAUUUGUGAAAUUCCACAUUACCUUUUUGCUUAUUUCCUGUUGCCUGUCUGUUUUUCAGACAGCAUUCUCAAAGUGAUGCAUGAAGCAGGUCAAGCAUGGCCUGGAGCAAUUGUGCUGUGACUCAAUUUUCUCAUUUGUCAUGACUAGAUAGUAAUAGGGUUGUCUUGACAAUUAAUAAAAAACAUAUGGAUAUUUUACACACAUAUACAACAAAUAACACUGUAUUAAUAUUAUGUGCUCAAUAAAUAUUAGUCCAAAAAUAUCUGUUUUUCAGACAAGAAAGGUGAAGUUGAUAGAGAGCUGAGUUUUGGAUAAAUGAGAUAUUACUUCAUUACUAAACCACAUUCUAUGUUUAGAACAUAAUAUGAUAGUAUAAGAUGUUUGGGGCGGGCCCAAGAAAUUUACAUUUAAAUGAGUCUCUUAAGAGAUUUGUCUGCACUGGCCUAGAGUUUAAAGUGACCAUAUUUGAGUAAUACCAUUCUCCAACUGAAGCAUGUAGCAAGUCAAGCAUGACCUGGAGCAAUUGUGCUAUGACUCAAUUUUCUCAUGUGUCACAUGGAGAUAGUAAUAAGGUUACCUUAACAACUAAAUAAAAAUAUAUGGAUAUAUGACAUACACAUAUGCAACUAAGAACACUACAAUAAUAUUAUGUACCCAAUAAAUAUUAGUCCAAAAAUGUCUGCCUCA